Molecule: ribosomal RNA, 465 nt
Filed under: uncultured bacterium
Lineage: Bacteria
Description: partial 16S ribosomal RNA
Rfam family: Bacterial small subunit ribosomal RNA
Source: RNAcentral
GACGAACGCUGGCGGCGUGCUUAACACAUGCAAGUCGAACGGAAAGGCCCUGCUUGCCGGGUACUCGAGUGGCGAACGGGUGAGUAACACGUGGGUGAUCUGCCCUGCACUUCGGGAUAAGCCUGGGAAACUGGGUCUACUACCGGGUAGAAGCCAUUUUUAGUGUGCUUGUUGGAAAGUUUUUGCGGUGUAGGAUGAGCUCGCGGCCUCUCAGCUUGUUGGUGGGGUAAUGGCCUACCAAGGCGGCGACGGGUAGCCGGCCUGAGAGAGUGGACGGCCACAUUGGGACUGAGAUACGGCCCAGACGCAUAAGGGAGGCAACAGUGGGGAAGAUUGCACAAUGGGCGCAAGCAUGAUGCAGAGAAGCCGCGUGGGGGGUGACGGCCUUCGAGGUGUAAACUUCAUUCGAUAGGGAAGAAGCAUUUUGUGACGGUACCUAGAUAAGAAGCACCGGAUAACUACGUG